AAAAAUUAGAGUGUUCAAAGCAGGCAGAUCCAAUUCUCUGCCACCGAAUACAUUAGCAUGGGAUAAUGGAAUAGGACCCUGUCCUCCUAUUUUCAGUUGGUUUUGGCAGCGCGAGGACUAGGGUAAUGAUUAAUAGGGAUAGUUGGGGGCAUUAAUAUUUAAUUGUCAGAGGUGAAAUUCUUGGAUUUAUGAAAGAUUAACUUCUGCGAAAGCAUCUGCCAAGGAUGUUUUCAUUAAUCAAGAACGAAAGUUAGGGGAUCGAAGACGAUCAGAUACCGUCGUAGUCUUAACCAUAAACGAUGCCGACCAGCGAUUAGGAGACGUUGAAUACAAAACACCACCAUCGGUGCGGUCGUUCUUGGCGUCGGUCUUUCGGCCGGCGCGGGGACGGCUUAGCCCGGUGGCACCGGUGAA
This 414-nucleotide ribosomal RNA is filed under the name Acanthamoeba sp. S2.JDP. Its description in RNAcentral is "SSU rRNA". It matches the Rfam family "Eukaryotic small subunit ribosomal RNA", at positions 761 to 1112 of the family's 1831-position model. Lineage: Eukaryota; Discosea; Longamoebia; Acanthamoebidae. The record is from RNAcentral.